Molecule: transfer RNA, 62 nt
Filed under: Dugesia ryukyuensis
Lineage: Eukaryota; Metazoa; Platyhelminthes; Tricladida; Dugesiidae
Description: tRNA-Leu
Source: RNAcentral
UCUAAAGUGCCAGAUUAUGGGCUAAAUUUAAGCUUUAGCUAUGGAUUCAAAUCCCUUUAGUU